CAGCCGCCGCGGGAAAACGUAGGGCGCAAGCGUUGUCCGGAAUUAUUGGGCGUAAAGAGCUCGUAGGCGGUCUGUCGCGUCUGGUGUGAAAUCCCGAGGCUCAACCUCGGGCUUGCAUCGGGUACGGGCAGACUAGAGUGCGGUAGGGGAGACUGGAAUUCCUGGUGUAGCGGUGGAAUGCGCAGAUAUCAGGAGGAACACCGAUGGCGAAGGCAGGUCUCUGGGCCGCAACUGACGCUGAGGAGCGAAAGCAUGGGGAGCGAACAGGAUUAGAUACCCCAGUAGUCCCUGUCUCUUAUAC
This 301-nucleotide ribosomal RNA is filed under the name uncultured bacterium. Its description in RNAcentral is "partial 16S ribosomal RNA". It matches the Rfam family "Bacterial small subunit ribosomal RNA", at positions 509 to 807 of the family's 1533-position model. The record is from RNAcentral.